AAAAAGAGCCAGGACCUAGACAGAUAGGGAACCUGGGCAACAGAAGACCAAUGUACUUAACAGAAUUAAGUGAGUUGGGAUACCGAGCCUCAGCUAAAAAGGCCCAGCUGUGUCAGACUGAAGUUACUUAUUUGAGAUACACCCUUCGAGAUGGGAAGCAGUGGCUAAAGGAAUCCAGAAAAAACAAAGACUGUAACUCAGAUCCCCACCCCAACUACACCAAGGCAAGUAAGAGAAUUCUUGGACACCGCUGGCUUCUGGGGGCUCUGGAUACCUGGGUUUUGUGACCUUAGCUGCCCCAUUGUACCCACUAACCAAGGAAGGGGAGGUGUUUGUGUGGACUCCAGAUCACCAGAAAGCCUUUGAAGAAGUUAGAACCUGUUGCCAGCGGGUGGUUUUUUGCCUAAAAGCUAUUGCUGUCAUAGUUCUACUUGUCAAGGAUGCUGAUAAGCUCACUCUGGGACAGUAAAUAACUGUAGUGGCACCCCACACUCUUGAAAGCAACCAACAGCCCCCUGACCGAUGAAUGACCUCGUAUGACACAUUAUCAGAGCCUUUUGUUGACUGAAUGAGUGACCUUCGCUCCCCCUGCUGUCCUCAAACCCUUUACCCUACUGCCCAAGACUGCUCACUCUUCACCUACUCAUCCCUACGCUGACAUCUGGCAGAGGAAGCUGGUACUCAAAUGAUCUGAAGGAUCAGCCUUGGCCUGGGAGUCAGAGCUGAUACAAGAAUGGCAGUAGCUUCGUAGUUGAAGGUAAGCUGAAGGCGGGGGCAGCAGUGGUGGACAGAAAGCAAGUGAUCUAGGCCAGCAGCCUCCCUGAAGGGACUUCAGCCCAGAAAGCCAAACUUGUGGCUUUGAUACAAGCUCUACGAAUGGCAAACAGGAAGUCUAUCAACAUUUACACUGACAGCAGGUAUACUUUUGCCAGGGCACGGAGCAAUAUACAGACAAAGGGGGCUGUUGACAUCUGCAGAGAAAGGCCUAAGAUGCUAUGGCUAAAGGGAAUCAGAUGACAGACCUAACCACCAAGCAGGCAGCCCAGAGUGUUAACCUUCUGCCUGUAGCAGAAAAGUCCAAAACCCAGGACCCAAGCGGCAGUACACCCUGGAAGACUGGCAAGAAAUAAAAAGAUAGACCAGUUCUCUGGGGUCCAAGAGGGGACUUGCUAAACCUAAGAAGGGAAGGAGAUCCUACCCUACAAAAAGGACUAGAAUAUGUCCAACAGAUGGAUCGUCCAACCCACCUAAGAGCUAAACAUCUGCAGAGACUGGUUAGAACAUCCCCUUAUCAUGUUCUGAGAUUACCAGGAGUGGCUGACUCGGUCGUCAAACUUUGUGUGCCUUGCCAGCUGGUUAAUGCUCAUCCUUCCAGAAUGCCUCCUGAGAGAAGACUGAGGGGAAGCCAGCCAAGUAUGGUAACAAGUACUUAUUAGUGUUUGNAGACACCUUUUCAAGCUGAGUAGAAGCUUUUCCUACCAUGACUGAGAUGGCCAAUGUGAUGACCAAAAAGAUCCUAGAAGAAAUCUUCCCAAGAUUGGAGAUACCCAAGGUAAUCGGGUCUGAUAAUGGACCUGCCUUUGUUGCCCAGGACACUCGUAACCAUGACUUCACUGCUGAAUUGCCAUCACACCGGUUCCUCUGACAGCCUCAAAAAGAUAUCAUCAAAUCUUUGUCACAUAAAACAGUAGAAAGAGCUGCAGCUGGAGCGUGGUGAGAUGUCUUCUUGUAGUGAGUCUGAACUUGAGCAAUUAUGAAAGUCUGUGGGACCACGAAAGGCAGCUUGGUCCCUGGUUGAGCUAAGGCUUGAAACCCCAGAGACCUUGAAGGGAUGGUAGGCGUUUCACCUGUUCCUGGACACCAGGCCCCUGUCACAAGCCGCAGCCCUCAAUAGAUUUGUGGUCAUCGGUCACAUACAGCCAUGACAAUAAACGCCUUAAAACCAUGGACUUCCUCGGACUUCACCUAUAGAGCAGCUGUCUAGUCUCCUGUAGUACACCUCUCUGUGCUCCCAGCCAUGACUGCCACCAAGCCAAGCCCAAGCCAACUGGCGUCAAGCCAAGGACUCUCCUGAGGGACAAGCUGGACAAGCUGGAGCUCCCCCACCCCACCCCGCCCCGCCCCGGCCAGAUCCAGCCCUAGGGGUCCCCACUCUGUUCUGACCUCUUCCUCAGCAUCCAGUGGUGCCUAGAUGUCCAAGAGCCUGAGAACCAGAUGUCUGAGGACUUCGAAGGCCCAGAGAUGCCCCCCAGCUACCUCUGUCUGUUCUAUACCCCAGACUGUGCUUACCCACCCCUGGAGUGGUGUCUUGGGGCCUCCCUACAGGAUAAGCACGUUCUACUUCCAGCAUCCUGCCUCCCCAAGCAGCCAAGCCCUGUGUAGUGAAACAGACAUGGGACCUAUAACCCUACAAAAGUUUAAUUGUGACACUUUGUAGACUUUAUUUUUUAUUUAGUCUAUACCCUAUUACACACACACACGC
This is a long non-coding RNA of Mus caroli (Ryukyu mouse), 2482 nucleotides long. RefSeq lists it as uncharacterized. The record is from RefSeq and is a predicted model, not a curated record. Lineage: Eukaryota; Metazoa; Chordata; Mammalia; Rodentia; Muridae.